Suricata suricatta (meerkat) is the source of this 780-nucleotide long non-coding RNA. RefSeq lists it as uncharacterized. The record is from RefSeq and is a predicted model, not a curated record. The transcript is spliced from 3 exons. NCBI's taxonomy places the organism in Eukaryota, Metazoa, Chordata, Mammalia, Carnivora, Herpestidae.
ACCUGUGCUACGUUUCACAUUGGCUGCCUAUUAGCUGUUGACUGUGGGCAAGUCACUUAACCACUCUGAACCUCACUUUCCUCAAAUAUGAAAUGGGAUAAGACGUGUCCUUACUGUAAAGACCAACUGUAAAGGCGGUAAAGGCUGUAAAGACCAACUGGAUGAACAUUUUGCAAAGUCUAAGAGGCCACACAAAUGUCGCUGGUAGCACCUGCCCAUGUCUCUUGGACGUGGCUGUUAAAGAAGUGAAGCGGAUGAUCGCAGAGUCUGAAAGAUCUAGAUGCCACUGAAAAGUUUUCUGAAGAUCAGCUUUUCUUUUUAAACAUUUUAAGAAAUGGAUAAAAAUCUCUGCAAAACUUCUACUUGGAGGAGAAACACUUACCCAGAAUGCUUCAUGUUUUGAGGCUUAUCCAUUCGGACAGCAAGUUUGAUUUUGAGGUCUUGAUCAGGGCAGUUUUUGGAGACUGUCAUUUUGUGCCACUCGGACUGUUUGGGGCUGUUUGGGGUGGGAUGGAGGAUAACCUGUAGGCACAAAGAACAUGGAUCUUAGCCAGAAAGUGGGAACACUGGGACAAGCAUGUUGUUUUCAAUGAGAAACUUCGCUGCUGAGAAGCUGAGCUGCCCCAGGGAGGCAUUUAAAUAAAACAGGGCCUUGGCCUUGGGACUACAGUCCAAGGCUCCUCUACCAACCAUGGCUCCCUCUUGCCAAGCAGAUCAGCCAGAGGACGGAAGUGGUCUCUUGCUCUCCUCUCUCUCUCCUGGGCUAAUUCAGUAAAAGUA